UACAGGGGGUGCAAGCGUUGCUCGGAAUCACUGGGCGUAAAGCGAACGCAGGCGGACCGUCAAGUCAGGGGUGAAAGCCCGAGGCUCAACCUCGGAACUGCCUUUGAAACUGACGAUCUUGAGUACGGGAGAGGUGAGUGGAAUUCCUGGUGUAGAGGUGAAAUUCGUAGAUAUCAGGAGGAACACCGGUGGCGAAAGCGGCUCAGCUGGCCCGAUACUGACGCUCAUGUUCGAAAGCGUGGGGGAGCAAACAGG
RNAcentral lists this ribosomal RNA (255 nucleotides) under uncultured bacterium. RNAcentral describes it as "partial 16S ribosomal RNA". It matches the Rfam family "Bacterial small subunit ribosomal RNA", at positions 524 to 776 of the family's 1533-position model. The record is from RNAcentral.